CCUGGGUCGCCCUGUAGGAACCGCGAGUAGUUUUCCGUAGAUGAGCAUCGAGUGGCUCGAUAUCCCAUUUUGCCUGGUGCCUGGCCAAUGUAGGUCAGCUGAGUUGGCUGGUUGACGCGAAACAAUGCGGAUAUCCGCGAGAUUAGAAUCUCGAAACGAAGGUCGAAGCCCCGUGCACGUCCGACAGCUUGGCGCUCGAGCCACCGUCGAGAUUCUGCUGCCACUUUCUGCCACUUUUUACCCUCGGCGAGAUCGAGCGUUCCCGUGGUCGCUGGCUCAUCCGCGACCGACUAUCGUCGUCUUGUUCACUAUCGUGUGGCCGGCAGAAAAA
This is a long non-coding RNA of Bombus pyrosoma, 331 nucleotides long. RefSeq lists it as uncharacterized. The transcript is spliced from 2 exons. The record is from RefSeq and is a predicted model, not a curated record. Lineage: Eukaryota; Metazoa; Arthropoda; Insecta; Hymenoptera; Apidae.